GACGAACGCUGGCGGCGUGCUUAACACAUGCAAGUCGAACGAUGAUGCUGGAGCUUGCUCCAGUUGGUUAGUGGCGAACGGGUGAGUAACACGUGAGCAAUCUGCCCUUGACUCUGGGAUAACUGCGGGAAACUGUAGCUAAUACCGGAUACUUUCACCGGAAGGCAUCUUCUGGUGAUGAAAGAAUUUCGGUCAGGGAUGAGCUCGCGGCCUAUCAGCUUGUUGGUGAGGUAACGGCUCACCAAGGCGACGGUGGGUAGCCGGCCUGAGAGGAUGCCCGGCCACACUGGAACGGAGACACGGUCCAGACACCUACGGGUGGCAGCAGUCGAGAAUCAUUCACAAUGGGGGCAACCCUGAUGGUGCGACGCCGCGUGGGGGAAGAAUGUCUUCGGAUUGUAAACCCCUGUCAUGUGGGAGUAAGCUAGUGAUAGUUGAUAGUACCACAAGAGGAAGAGACGGCAAACUCUGUGCCAGCAGCCGCCGCAG
RNAcentral lists this ribosomal RNA (489 nucleotides) under uncultured bacterium. RNAcentral's name for it is "partial 16S ribosomal RNA". It matches the Rfam family "Bacterial small subunit ribosomal RNA", at positions 28 to 523 of the family's 1533-position model. The record is from RNAcentral.